This 448-nucleotide ribosomal RNA is filed under the name uncultured bacterium. RNAcentral describes it as "bacterial SSU rRNA". It matches the Rfam family "Bacterial small subunit ribosomal RNA", at positions 329 to 793 of the family's 1533-position model. The record is from RNAcentral.
CACCAGACUCCUACGGGAGGCAGCAGUGGGGGAUAUUGCACAAUGGGGGGAACCCUGAUGCAGCGACGCCGCGUGGGUGAAGGAGCGUUUCGGCGCGUAAAGCCCUAUCGGCAGGGAAGAAGGAGGACGGUACCUGACUAAGAAGCCCCGGCUAACUACGUGCCAGCAGCCGCGGGAAUACGUAGGGGGCGAGCGUUAUCCGGAUUCACUGGGUGUAAAGGGAGCGUAGACGGCCAUGCAAGCCAGGGGUGGAAGCCCGGGGCCCAACCCCGGGACUGCCCUUGGAACUGCAUGGCUGGAGUGCGGGAGGGGCAGGCGGAAUUCCUGGUGUAGCGGUGAAAUGCGUAGAUAUCAGGAGGAACACCAGUGGCGAAGGCGACUUUCUGGACUGUACCUGACGCUGAGGCGCGAAAGCGUGGGUAGCGAACGGGAUUAGAUACCCUCGUAU